AACGAACGCUGGCGGCAUGCCUAACACAUGCAAGUCGAGCGAGAUCUUCGGGUCUAGCGGCGGACGGGUGAGUAACGCGUGGGAAUAUGCCCUUCUCUGCGGAAUAGCCUCGGGAAACUGAGCGUAAUACCGCAUACGCCCUUUGGGGGAAAGAUUUAUCGGAGAAGUAUUAGCCCGCGUUGGAUUAGGUAGUUGGUGGGGUAACGGCCUCCCAAGCCGACAAUCCAUAGCUGGUUUGAGAGGAUGAUCAGCCACUCUGGGACUGAGACACGGCCCAGACUCCUACGGGAGGCAGCAGUGGGGAAUCUUAGACCAUGGGGGCAACCCUGAUCUAGCCAUGCCGCGUGAGUGAUGAAGGCCUUAGGGUUGUAAAGCUCUUUCAGCUGGGAAGAUAAUGACGGUACCAGCAGAAGAAGCCCCGGCUAACUCCGUG
RNAcentral lists this ribosomal RNA (433 nucleotides) under uncultured bacterium. RNAcentral's name for it is "partial 16S ribosomal RNA". It matches the Rfam family "Bacterial small subunit ribosomal RNA", at positions 29 to 507 of the family's 1533-position model. The record is from RNAcentral.